This 496-nucleotide ribosomal RNA is filed under the name uncultured bacterium. Its description in RNAcentral is "partial 16S ribosomal RNA". It matches the Rfam family "Bacterial small subunit ribosomal RNA", at positions 28 to 523 of the family's 1533-position model. The record is from RNAcentral.
GACGAACGCUGGCGGCGUGCUUAACACAUGCAAGUCGAACGAGAAUCUACUGGAAGAGUUUUCGGACAAUGGAUGUAGAGGAAAGUGGCGGACGGGUGAGUAACGCGUGAGGAACCUGCCUUGAAGAGGGGGACAACAGUUGGAAACGACUGCUAAUACCGCAUGAAGCAUAGGGGUCGCAUGAUCUUUAUGCCAAAGAUUUAUCGCUUCAAGAUGGCCUCGCGUCUGAUUAGCUGGUUGGCGGGGUAACGGCCCACCAAGGCGACGAUCAGUAGCCGGACUGAGAGGUUGAACGGCCACAUUGGGACUGAGAUACGGCCCAGACUCCUACGGGAGGCAGCAGUGGGGAAUAUUGGGCAAUGGGCGCAAGCCUGACCCAGCAACGCCGCGUGAAGGAAGAAGGCUUUCGGGUUGUAAACUUCUUUUAAGAGGGAAGAGCAGAAGACGGUACCUCUAGAAUAAGCCACGGCUAACUACGUGCCAGCAGCCGCAGUAA